GAGCCUACGGGGGGCAGCAGUGGGGAAUAUUGCACAAUGGGCGAAAGCCUGAUGCAGCAACGCCGCGUGGAGGAUGAAGGUUUUAGGAUUGUAAACUCCUUUUGUUAGAGAAGAUAAUGACGGUAUCUAACGAAUAAGCACCGGCUAACUCCGUGCCAGCAGCCGCGGUAAUACGGAGGGUGCAAGCGUUACUCGGAAUCACUGGGCGUAAAGAGCGCGUAGGCGGGAUAGCAAGUCAGAUGUGACAUCCUAUGGCUUAACCAUAGAACUGCGUUUGAAACUGUUAUUCUAGAGUAUGGGAGAGG
RNAcentral lists this ribosomal RNA (305 nucleotides) under uncultured bacterium. Its description in RNAcentral is "bacterial SSU rRNA". It matches the Rfam family "Bacterial small subunit ribosomal RNA", at positions 335 to 657 of the family's 1533-position model. The record is from RNAcentral.